Pogona vitticeps (central bearded dragon) is the source of this 3969-nucleotide non-coding RNA. NCBI's taxonomy places the organism in Eukaryota, Metazoa, Chordata, Lepidosauria, Squamata, Agamidae. The record is from RefSeq and is a predicted model, not a curated record.
CUCUCUGCUUCAACUGACAACUGGCCUGACAGAUGAAGUCCACGGAAAAGGCAGAGCAACGUCUUUCUAUAGGGACACAUUUUUUGCAGAGGUAUGGGAAACUCCUGCACCUUGUAUAUAGAGCGGCCCUUGAUGAAAUAUGGGUGAUCUGAAAUUCCACACCUGAGUCUGAGAACACAAUUAAUCCACCUUCAUGAAUUGUGUCCUACACAAAGAAGCACACCACAGCGGGUGAGAUACGGAAUGCAUAGAUCCUUUCCCCACUUCUGGAACACAAGUAGAAUCAAACUGGCAAACAAACCGCACAACCUUGGAGGUCUAAUAAGGAAUGGUUUCUGAUGUCACAAUUCUCUACAUAUCUCACUGAGAAGCCAGUCCUACUGUGUUCGGUAGAGCAUAUUCUCAGGAAAAAUGAGUACAGGAUUGUACCCUGGAAAAUAAUCAGCAGCUCAAGCCUCAGCAUCUUUACUCAGAAGUAAGUCCUACUGCAUUCAGUUGUGUUCAUACUGAUAUAGGAUUGUGGCUGAAUUGAAUGUCCAGCAAACUAAAUACUGACACAGACCCCUUUAUAUACCACAGAUCACAGAACAUAAAGUACAAUAUUAUAAAAUGUUACUCAGUUCAAAUGUAAAUAAAGUGGCUUACUUUCAAAUAAAUAUGCUUAGGACUGGACUCCAUGGCAGUUCUUCUGUCUGUCUACUUGUAUAUUAAUUAUGUGGAUUAUUUGUUUAGCAGAGCUUCCUGUUAGAAGUGCAAUUUUGGGGGGGGGGGGGACAAAAGAGAAAGAAGAUGGAUUUAAACUAUAGAGCAGCCUUCCCCCCAAUCCAGCACUUUGGCCAUGCUGGCUGAGGAUGAUGGGAGUUGUAAUCCAAAACAUCUAGAGGGUGCAGUUAGGAAAGGUUGAAAUAAGGGUAUAUUCAAAAAGGAAACUUAUGCUGUAUGUGCUUUUAUAGUUUGUUGGCUUAUAUUUUUUGCUCUUACCAUUACUAUGCUUGUCACCAUUAGGUUGUCUAUAUCACUUUCCAAACGGAAAUAGUAAGUAGAACCAAGUAGACUUUCUUGUUGUUUACCCCCACUAAAGCCCAGAAUAAAUGUUGCACAUUGUGAUACAAUAUACUGUGGGGAAAAAGUACAUGCUUUCUAGUGCACUGCUUGUCCAAUUUGGGUAUCAUAAAUCAAAUGUACUAGUCACUACUAUGACACAUGCAUGGUGGGUGGGCAUCGCUCAGCAGUGUUCAAUAUAGAUGGCUAUUUCUUCUCCUCCGAUUGCUUUACAAUCUUUACAAUGAAGAUUGCUUUACGAUGAAGGCAAAAUUGGGCCCUCUUUAUUUACAAGCCAUCUUUUAAAAAGUUCUUUCCUUAAAGAGAUCACCUAAGUGCCACACUAUAAGAAUUAAUUUAAAACAUCCAAAAAUAUAUAUGUAUAUUAUUAGCUUUGACAGUAUACUGCAGGGGAACUCAGCAGCUGUUUUCAUUUCACCUAUAGUUUGUCACGCCCUGUUAGAUUCCAACUCUGUCUCUGAGCACUGAUAGUGGGGCUGAUGAGAGUUGGAAAAAUCUAACAAAAUGUGCAGGGUCCCAGAUGUCGUACCUUCUACAUUCCCAAGAGAAAGCUCACAAGGUAUGUCUUGAGCAAGAAUAAAGCAUACUAGCAGAGCAAGGCAAUGGAAUAUUGCAGUUAUUUUAACCAUGGAACUAGUUGGCACCAUAGUUCCAGGGCAUAUGGAUCCUAAUAAAUUUAUUGUUGUCAUCCAAAAGCCCUAGAACUACAUGAUGCCAACCAAUUCUGUGGUUAAAUUAGUGCAAUAUUCCCUUACCCUGGUGUGCUAGUUAGCAUACGUCCUCCUUGGAACAAGGUGACACCAUGUGUUUCCAAGGCUUUUGAAUCCUAGCAUCAUCUAAUGUUUAAAUAUUUACACUCACUAACAUUGUACCAGAUCUCAAUCUCUUUCUUUUCCCUUCAAAAACUAUAGCUUGCCAUAAACCACAUAAAAACUGAAAUAAUGAGUGGCCUUGGCUACCAGACGGAUGGUAAAUAAAUGAAUGAAUGAAUGACUAAAUAAAUAAAUUUGAAACAUUUUAAGAUUAACUUUGUAACAUAUAGUACAUUUUCCAACCUUCAUUAUUAUUCUCACUUUAAAUCUCAAGGAAACAGAGUUCCUGCACAGACUGGCUUCAGACAUUGAGCCACAAUUCCUAAAACAAAACUAAUUUCUUCUUCUCUUAGCUCUGUCAGGGCAGUAGAUUUUUCAAAGUACUGUAAAUUAUUAAGAGACUGUGAAACACAGUGUCAAAGAAAUAGCCCUCCAUUGGUUUCACUAAUCCUCAACUGUGUUCCUUAUUUCUUUUCACUAAAUAGCUACCGAAAACUGAUGGGCUGUUUCUGAUAACAAUUCCAAGAACAGGCCAUUGUCUCUCAUGUAACAUCCCAGAAUAUAUCUGCUAGAAAGCUGCAAAAUUGACAAUUCUAGGUAAUUAAAGAGGAUUAAUAAACCGGUGGGCUGAGAUGUCUAGCAAUGGAAAGUACAGGCUUUUUAAGCAGACAGCGUCUGCGAACCAGGAUGGUUAUUUUUUUCUAUAAACUGCAAGAGGCCAAUGAGAUAGAUAGCAGGAAGGACAGCUAGGAAAAAGUUGCUUCUUUGGACUCCCAUCUCACAGAGUAUCUCAGCCAACGUGACCAACUUCCACAGUCAGUCAGAAUUAUAAACCAAAAAAGCAACUUUUCCCUUGUAGAAACAGAAAGCCAAGUAAGUUUUAAGAGUAGAACUGGCACUCUUCUGCAUUUUCUGUAGUGUUUUAUGUCUAUAUUACAUAAGGUGGAAACAUACCAAGAUGUAGUUGAUGCACUCCUUUGUUUUCUGCUCAUAGUUGAAGUAUGAACCUGUGCAGAUUGUGAGCCCAUCUGGGCAGUCAGGAUGUUUUCAAUGUUGUAAAGUUGCUGUCUCAGCCCCCCUGACCAUAAGAUGAUGCAUCAAACCUCUCUCCCUCCUGGCAUCUCCCUGUUAUUUCACACCAAGGGAGCAGUCAGCAGGUAGGGGUUGGAAGGUCUGGAAAGGAUCGGCGCUGGAUGAAGACGAACCACAGCCAACCACAAGCCUGCAGCAGCACUUUUAAGGACAGUGGACUCAUCCAUAAAGUAGAAAGCACUACUAAACGCACGUGUCCAAGUGUAGUGUUUCCUACUUUAUGGAUGAGUGUACUGUGAGCAACGGAGGCAACAGAAAGAAGCAGAGCCCUACACAGGAAGAGGGGAAGGUGCACGCAGUGGAAGAGCUACAGGGUGGUCCACAGAGUACAUUGUGUAAUUUUUUUAAGUGCACACUUUUUGUCGUACUGUCAGUUCAUACAUCUUCCUUCCCCACAUACUGUACGUGAUAUUCACAGCUACAUUUCUUGCCUGUAGUAAAAGUAGACUUCGGUCUAGAUGGGCUGGGUAUAAAUUGAAUAAAUGAAAUAAAAUAAAAAAAUAAAGUGGUCCUCCAGAUAGUCAGUCUGCAAGUGCUGUUAUCCCUAGCUGGCAUAGCCAAGGGUGAGUAUGUUGGGAAUUGCAGUUCCUGGUGUUUGAAGGGCUGAACUUGCCCAUGGCUCCUGCAAUAUUUGCUUCUGAAUUCAAGCUGAACAGGUAAGGGAGCAGCAACACUUACAUCAACAUAUAGUAAGGAUGUAUGAAAAUUACCUAUGCUCUCUUUUCUCAUACUUCACCAAUACAUUCGCCUUUUCCUUCCACAUACGACCAUUCAGACUUCUGCAAGUAUACAUACAAGUUUUAAAAGGCAGAAUUGUGUUCAGUUUGCUUAGCGGGGGCAGGAGGAGAGAUCACAUUGUCAACACACCCUUGAUGAGCACCUUCAGAAUGGACUGGCUGUUGAUGUGUGUCUGAAACAAAGGGAAGGGACAUUCUGCUACUGCUGUGUGAUGUAUUUAAUGCCCGUCACUAUCACUAAAAUUAAAUACACAUAAUUAAAUACA